Molecule: transfer RNA, 72 nt
Filed under: Sus scrofa (pig)
Lineage: Eukaryota; Metazoa; Chordata; Mammalia; Artiodactyla; Suidae
Rfam family: tRNA
About the family: Transfer RNA (tRNA) molecules are approximately 80 nucleotides in length. Their secondary structure includes four short double-helical elements and three loops (D, anti-codon, and T loops).
Source: Rfam by way of RNAcentral
UCCCUGGUGGUCCAGUGGUUACGACUCGGUGCUUGCACCCCUGCGGCCCGGGUUCGAUCCCUGGCCUGGGAC